Salvia splendens (bonfire salvia) is the source of this 820-nucleotide long non-coding RNA. RefSeq lists it as uncharacterized. The transcript has 3 exons. NCBI's taxonomy places the organism in Eukaryota, Viridiplantae, Streptophyta, Magnoliopsida, Lamiales, Lamiaceae. The record is from RefSeq and is a predicted model, not a curated record.
AUUUUCAAUGACAUGAUGAACUAGGAAAUUUUUGCACAAGCGAAGUAAAACAGAUGGGGGGAAAAAGCUAAAGAAAGAGGUACUAGAACAAAUUUUGCUAAGAUAUCUACCGACUAAUACUAUUUACCACAUUUUAUAAAGAUAAGAUGGUUUCCUAAAGUCAGCAACUUUGUCACAUUGUCCCCAGUAAAUUGCUAUUGAAUCCCACUACUACUUUGCAAAAUGUACUAACUAUUUAUAUAAGAUGAACCUGUACCAAUUACCAAUAGCUGAUUUAUGUGGAUAGCUGAAGAUUUUUAGCAUGCAAAACCAAUUGAGUCUAAAAGAUCUUGGUCAUAACAAGCCUCGACACUAAUUAAGUCAAAAUCCAUUGUAUUGAUUUGUUCAGUUCUUUCAAUAACCUAUCUUGUUUGCCAUAUAUAUACGGGAUAGUAUUGCUAGAAAAAUGAACAUCAACCAAAAACAAGUAUGGGCAGACAUUAUGCUUAGGCAUGAAAGAGUGAUUUGGUAUUGAUGUCGAGCAUCUUCUAUAUCUAGAUGAUAAUGAGUACUUCUUGGAGCAGGAGGACAAAGCUAAGUACAGAUGAGUUGUACCAAGCUGGACAUGAUCAAUAUGCUCUCCAGUUUGAGGAACAUGGAUGCGCGGCACACAUGCAGACACAUAGAGCGGUAUGAUUCUCAGCUCACUGAAAUUGAGGUACCCUCAUUCAGACAAAAAGGACGAACUAUGGAGUGGGUAGAUACAGCCCAUAAACCAAAAAUAAAAGCAGUGACGCUAAACAUGUAGGACAAUUUGCUGUAUGAUGCUUAGACAACAGUA